GAAAUAACUCAAUCUGUAACUGCAUCUAAAAUAGGAAGAGGUAGCAGUGUUGCCAUGCAAGGUUUCCUCUGCGUCUCUUCGUUCCUUCUAAUAUGUCAACAUGAUUCAUUUGUAUCAAAAUGUCACAAUUAUUCACAAUAUUUCAAUUUUUCAUCAACUGUUUCAAAAUAAAUCUUAUUUUUAACUGUUUUAACAAUUGUCUUCUGAUUUUUUAAAACAUUAUUCACAUUGGCCUGUAUGUUAAUGCCAGCUGAAGAACUGAACCACCUGCGUUAGAAGGUAAGUGAAUUACAUGAUUUUUACGAGCAGAUACUAUAUGUUGUUGAAGGUUGAUGUAAUGGUUAUCAAUAUUGUUCAGUGAGUAUCUUUGAUUAUUGAAGUCCUUAUUGUUUAACUUUAUUUGUUCUUCUGCUUAAACAACACAGUUGUAUGGUUUUCCUAUCAUGGAAUAAUCACUACAUCGUGUUUGUCUGUGCUUGAUCACUUCUCUACUGAAGUGUGUGUGUAUGAGUGGUUUUGAUUACAGUAUACCUGCAGUUUGUCCCCUUUUGGGGCAUAGAUGGAUAACAUCCCUUUAAUUUAGCUUUACAAUGCUUUAUUUGUCCUUACAUUAUAUUUGACACAAUUAUAGUGUUGCAUGUGACUUUUAUGUACAGGCCUACUCUAUGCUACUAGACUAAAGUCCAUCGUGUCAUUUGAGAGAGCAUAAACCACCUCUUAACUUUUCAGGAAGUGUUAACGUGCACGUCUGUCUGCUUCUGCCCAUGUUGUGCUGUUAGCUAUUGGAAACGGAGAAUUAUCAAAAUAAUAUAAAUGUAAGUUCAACAUAAUUAUUUUACAAGGCACAGUUGAUUUAAGAUGCAUGUGUGAUCGCUAUCAAAUGUAAUUCCUGUGUUACUGGUUCCUUCGCUUCCUUGUUACGACGUACAUAAUGUCUUUAUGAACGAUGAAGUCCUAUCGCUGUCUUUAUUCAUUCUGUAACUCAUUCUAAGCUCGUCUAUAACGUGGAUGGUGAUAAUGACGAUGACAGAGGCAUAGUAAUAUUCUAUAAAUUGUGUAUGAUUGUGAAUGGUAUGGGACACUUUAAGUGUAUAAACCAUGGUGACCUAAUUUAACCUGCACCAUAAUUUAACCUGCGUUAAUGUCUUUCAAUGCAAGACAGCUAAAGAACAGCGCGUGAGAGGGAAUCUCUGAGAGACGACAUUAAAACAAAGUUUACUCACCUGUGCAAUGGCGAGUGAACUCUCCCCAAAUGUUUAUGGUAAGUAAAUUCCAGUUCAGCCUAUUACUUUUUGAUAAUUCCGUCCUUUACACAGCGUGUGUUUUGAAACACAUUGUGUUAGUUAGUCUGUGUGCUGAGCUUGUGUCUGAUUAUUACCCUCUGAUGCAGGGGGUCCUCCUCCCCAGUCAGAUCUUAGACUCCUGCUGCUUGGGAGAGUCGGAGCUGGGAAAAGUACAGUAGGCAAAACCAUCCUGGGCAGCGAUAACUUCUGGAGUGAAGGAGGCAUGUGUGUGAAGAAGCAGGGUGGAAGGACCGUCACCGUGGUGGACACCCCGGGCUGGGACACUGUGAAGUACACGUCCACAUACAUCAAACAAGAAAUUAAGAAGUGUGACCCCAUGCCCUUCUUCUGGUGGUGCCCAUGGGCGACCCGCUCUCCUCCGCAGAAAGAAAGGCGAUUCGGUAUCACAUGGCGCUAUUGUCAGUUAGGGCAUGGAAGUUUACCAUGGUCUUGUUUGUCAGUGAGGCUGAGGAGAAAUGCACAUCCAUUGAACAAAAUCAGAUGAUCGGCAGAGCAAAAAGUAUUCUAGCGAAAUGUGGACACAGACACCAUCUCCUUGAGUGUGGCAAUUCUCCUCCCCAGAUUUCUGAGCUCCUGAUAAAGCUAGACGCCAUGGUAGCAGAAAACUGUGAAGAAUUCUUAAUCCCCCAAGUAUAUGAUGAACUGAUGGAGACUACAAUGCCAAGUGAAGUGACCGAGCUGAGAAGGAUGUAUGAAGACCGAGAGGACAGACUGAAACGGAAAUACAAAACAGAGUUGAAGGAAAAGGAAGAAGAGCUGAAGAAGUACAGAGAAGAAGAGAAGCCUAAAGAAAGGUUGAUGAAGAGGACAAGUAGCAGUCAACUACUCCCCCCCCCCACGCCCCCCCACCCCCCCCAGUAUAAGCACAGAGAAGAGGACGGGUCGGUAAUGGCUGACCAUCAGAAGGUGGACCUACAGGCCGUCAAGCAAGGAUACAGGGAAGAGGCCUUGUCUGUGGUGGGCCACUACGUCAAACCACUAAUAGUGAUUAUGACUGCUGUAGUGGGGGCACUCAUGGGAGCAGUUGCAGGUGCAGAACAUGGAACACUUGGCGCAUGUACUGGAAUUCCUAUAGGCAUUAUUUUGGCAGUUCUUGUGAGUUAUGCUGUCCGUGGAGCCGACACAGCAGCAAGGGAUAUUUCCAUCGCAGUCAAAGCCGAGGGAAAUGAAAGUCAGAGGAGAGAAGAGGGAGCAGGCUUCUUCUUAGAUUCUACAAAAUCUGAAAGAUUUGAUAAGGAUCAGUGACACUCUUUUGAAUGUCAACACUAUUCUAUUGCUACAGUGUGUAGUGUAUGGACUGUGCUGUAUGGACUGUGCUGUAUGGACUGUGCUGUAUGGACUCUCAUGGUUCACCUGACUUGACUGGCUGACCCCAGUGAAGAGACAGGACAGACUGCCCAGCAAACCGGGAACAUACCCAGAACAUAAGAAAGGGUUUUUAUACAAAAUUAGGACGUUCUCCUAACAUUCACAAAAACGCACAACAUCUGUAACAACCACCAUUCCCCAAACAACAUUCUCGUUAUGUUUCCUGGUAAUGUAAUAACACAAUGUACCAGCAAUGUUUUUUGAACAUACUGUUGCAACAAAAUGUAUACGCAAUGUUCUGGGAACGUUCUUGCAACAUCAGGCAAAUGUUUAUACAAACAUUGUAUAAUCAUCAGCACGACGGGACAGUUUUUGUGUUAUGAUAACAUUUACCGCAACCUAACAAAUGUUCUGGGAGUUUUCAGAGAAACAAUUUUGGUUUGUUAGACGCUCUUUCUCUCUCGCUCUCUCUCUCUCGCUCUCUCUCUCGCCCUCUCUCUCUCUCGCCCUCUCUCUCUCGCCCUCUCUCUCUCUCUCUCGCUCUCUCUCUCGCCCUCUCUCUCUCGCCCUCUCGCUCUCUCUCUCGCCCUGUUAUGAUAACAUUUGCCGCACCUAACAAAUGUUCUGGGAGUUUUCAGAGAAACAAUUUUGGUUUGUUAGACGCUCUUUCUCUCUCGCCCUCUCUCUCUCGCUCUCUCUCUCGCCCUCUCUCGCCUCUCUCGCUCUCUCUCUCUCGCCCUCUCUCUCUCGCCCUCUCUCUCUCGCCCUCUCUCUCUCGCUCUCUCUCUCGCCCUCUCUCGCCCUCUCC
Molecule: long non-coding RNA, 3420 nt
Organism: Oncorhynchus tshawytscha (Chinook salmon)
Lineage: Eukaryota; Metazoa; Chordata; Actinopteri; Salmoniformes; Salmonidae
Source: Ensembl